GAGGUAUGAGGAAAAUACUGAUCAGUCUGAAAUACAUUUGAAGACUGUAAGAUCCAACUCUGACCUCAGCCUGGGC
Molecule: small nucleolar RNA, 76 nt
Organism: Sarcophilus harrisii (Tasmanian devil)
Lineage: Eukaryota; Metazoa; Chordata; Mammalia; Dasyuromorphia; Dasyuridae
Gene: SNORD19
Product: small nucleolar RNA, C/D box 19
Source: Ensembl